Molecule: long non-coding RNA, 381 nt
Filed under: Lathyrus oleraceus (garden pea)
Lineage: Eukaryota; Viridiplantae; Streptophyta; Magnoliopsida; Fabales; Fabaceae
Description: Pisum sativum (pea) long non-coding RNA (PSAT_LNC015567)
Source: RNAcentral
GUUCCUGCAACUUUUUCUUUUAUUCUUUCAAUGCCCUUUGGCAAUCAUUAUUUCACCUGACCGUUUGAUCCGUUUUUUUUAACAGCUUGAGUAUAGGUUCACACUUGGCUGUUAGAUAAGAUGUGAACCAUGACAUGUAGUUCAAUCUACCUAGGAGACCACGAACCUCUCUUUCUGUUCUCGGUUCAGGCAUUUCUCUUUUUUUUUUUUUUUUUUUUUUUUUUUUUUUUUNNNNNNNNNNNUUUUUUUUUUUUUAAGCAUGAUCAACCUCGAUUCCUCUCUUACAAUAAACCCCAGCAACUUACUGGACCGCACUCUGAUAGUGCACUUAUCUGAAUUCAACCUCCGUUUGAAUUGUCUCAACCGAUCUACUCAGCUUGG